UACAGAGGGUGCAAGCGUUAAUCGGAAUUACUGGGCGUAAAGGGCGCGUAGGCGGCUCAUGAAGGCUGUGGUGAAAGUCCGGGGCUCAACCUCGGAUCGGCCGUGGCGACUCGUGGGCUGGAGCACUGUAGAGGCGGGUGGAAUUCCGGGUGUAGCGGUGGAAUGCGUAGAGAUCCGGAAGAACACCAGUGGCGAAGGCGGCCCGCUGGGCAGUGGCUGACGCUGAGGCGCGACAGCGUGGGGAGCAAACAGG
Molecule: ribosomal RNA, 253 nt
Filed under: uncultured bacterium
Lineage: Bacteria
Description: partial 16S ribosomal RNA
Rfam family: Bacterial small subunit ribosomal RNA
Source: RNAcentral